GCACCAGUGGUCUAAUGGUAGAAUAGUAUCCUGCCACGGAACAGACCUGGGUUCGAUUCCCGGCUGGUGCA
Non-coding RNA from Brassica rapa (field mustard), 71 nucleotides. NCBI's taxonomy places the organism in Eukaryota, Viridiplantae, Streptophyta, Magnoliopsida, Brassicales, Brassicaceae. The record is from Rfam.